RNAcentral lists this ribosomal RNA (253 nucleotides) under uncultured bacterium. Its description in RNAcentral is "partial 16S ribosomal RNA". It matches the Rfam family "Bacterial small subunit ribosomal RNA", at positions 524 to 776 of the family's 1533-position model. The record is from RNAcentral.
UACGGAGGGAGCUAGCGUUGUUCGGAUUUACUGGGCGUAAAGAGCGCGUAGGCGGUUAUAUAAGUUAGAAGUGAAAUCCGGAAGCUCAACUUCCGAACUGCUUCUAAAACUGUAUAGCUAGAGUAUGGUAAGGGGCAACAGAAUUCCUAGUGUAGAGGUGAAAUUCUUAGAUAUUAGGAGGAAUACCGAUGGCGAAAGCAGUUGCCUAGGCCAUUACUGACGCUGAGGCGCGAAAGCGUGGGUAGCAAACAGG